UACGUAGGCAGCAAGCGUUGUUCGGAAUUACUGGGCGUAAAGAGUGUGUAGGCGGUGCUCUAAGUCUGUCGUGAAAUCUCCCGGCUUAACUGGGAGGGUGCGGCGGAAACUGGAAUGCUAGAGGGUGGGAGAGGAAAGCGGAAUUCCUGGUGUAGCGGUGAAAUGCGUAGAUAUCGGGAGGAACACCUGUGGCGAAAGCGGCGCACUGGACCACAACUGACGCUGAGGCGCGAAAGCUAGGGGAGCAAACAGG
This 253-nucleotide ribosomal RNA is filed under the name uncultured bacterium. RNAcentral's name for it is "partial 16S ribosomal RNA". It matches the Rfam family "Bacterial small subunit ribosomal RNA", at positions 524 to 776 of the family's 1533-position model. The record is from RNAcentral.